This 305-nucleotide ribosomal RNA is filed under the name uncultured bacterium. RNAcentral's name for it is "bacterial SSU rRNA". It matches the Rfam family "Bacterial small subunit ribosomal RNA", at positions 29 to 361 of the family's 1533-position model. The record is from RNAcentral.
AACGAACGCUGGCGGCAUGCCUAACACAUGCAAGUCGAACGAGACCUUCGGGUCUAGUGGCGCACGGGUGCGUAACGCGUGGGAAUCUGCCCUUAGGUUCGGAAUAACUUCGGGAAACUGAAGCUAAUACCGGAUGAUGACGUAAGUCCAAAGAUUUAUCGCCUAAGGAUGAGCCCGCGUUGGAUUAGCUAGUUGGUGAGGUAAAGGCUCACCAAGGCGACGAUCCAUAGCUGGUCUGAGAGGAUGAUCAGCCACACUGGGACUGAGACACGGCCCAGACUCCUACGGGAGGCAGCAGUGGGGAA